UACGGAGGGUGCAAGCGUUAAUCGGAAUUACUGGGCGUAAAGCGCACGCAGGCGGGUUGUUAAGUCAGAUGUGAAAUCCCGGGGCUCAACCUGGGAAGGGCAUCGGAAACUGGCAAGCUUGAGUCUCGUAGAGGGGAGUAGAAUUCCAGGUGUAGCGGUGAAAUGCGUAGAGAUCUGGAGGAAUACCGGUGGCGAAGGCGGCCCCCUGGACGAUGACUGACGCUCAGGUGCGAAAGCGUGGGGAGCAAACAGG
Molecule: ribosomal RNA, 253 nt
Filed under: uncultured bacterium
Lineage: Bacteria
Description: partial 16S ribosomal RNA
Rfam family: Bacterial small subunit ribosomal RNA
Source: RNAcentral